RNAcentral lists this ribosomal RNA (1358 nucleotides) under uncultured Treponema sp. Its description in RNAcentral is "bacterial SSU rRNA". It matches the Rfam family "Bacterial small subunit ribosomal RNA", at positions 28 to 1379 of the family's 1533-position model. Lineage: Bacteria; Pseudomonadati; Spirochaetota; Spirochaetia; Treponematales; Treponemataceae. The record is from RNAcentral.
AACGAACGCUGGCGGCGCGUCUUAAGCAUGCAAGUCGAGCGACAAGGGGAAGCAAUUCCUCCUAGAGCGGCGGACUGGUGAGUAACGCGUGGGUGACCUACCUGGAGGAUGGGGAUAGCCGCUAGAAAUAGCGGGUAAUACCGAAUAGAGUUGCUUGACUAUAGUUGAGCAAGGAAAGGGGCUAUGGCCCCGCCUACAGAUGGGCCCGCGUUCCAUUAGCUAGUUGGUGAGGUAAAGGCCCACCAAGGCGAUGAUGGGUAGCCGGCCUGAGAGGGUGAACGGCCACACUGGGACUGAGAUACGGCCCAGACUCCUACGGGAGGCAGCAGCUAAGAAUAUUCCACAAUGGACGGAAGUCUGAUGGAGCGACGCCGCGUGUAUGAAGGAGGCCGAAAGGUUGUAAAGUACUUUUGCGGAUAAGGAAUAAGCGCAGGAGGGAAUGCCUGCGUGAUGACGAAGGUCCGUGAAUAAGCCCCGGCUAAUUACGUGCCAGCAGCCGCGGUAACACGUAAGGGGCGAGCGUUGUUCGGAAUUAUUGGGCGUAAAGGGCGCGUAGGCGGUUAAUCAAGUCUGACGUGAAAGGCAGAUGCUUAACAUCUGGACUGCGUUGGAAACUGGGGAACUAGAGUCAUGGAGGGGGAGUUGGAAUUCCUGGUGUAGGGGUGAAAUCUGUAGAUAUCAGGAAGAACACCGGUGGCGAAGGCGAACUUCUAGCCAAUGACUGACGCUGAGGCGCGAAAGUGCGGGGAGCAAACAGGAUUAGAUACCCUGGUAGUCCGCACAAUAAACGAUGCACACUAGGUGUUGGGCCGUGCGGCUCAGUGCCGGAGCGAACGCGAUAAGUGUGCCGCCUGGGGAGUAUGCCCGCAAGGGUGAAACUCAAAGGAAUUGACGGGGGCCCGCACAAGCGGUGGAGCAUGUGGUUUAAUUCGAUGAUACGCGAGGAACCUUACCUGGGUUUGACAUGCAGGGGAAUGUGGUAGAGAUAUCACAGCCCGCAAGGUGUCCCUGCACAGGUGCUGCAUGGCUGUCGUCAGCUCGUGCCGUGAGGUGUUGGGUUAAGUCCCGCAACGAGCGCAACCCCUACUGCCAGUUACUAGCAGGUGAUGCUGAGGACUCUGGCGGGACUGCCGGUGACAAACCGGAGGAAGGUGGGGAUGAGGUCAAGUCAUCAUGGCCCCUAUGUCCAGGGCUACACACGUGCUACAAUGGUCGGUACAGAAUGAAGCGAAUCCGCGAGGAAAGAGCGAAACAGGAAAGCCGGCCGUAGUUCGGAUUGAAGUCUGAAACCCGACUUCAUGAAGUUGGAAUCGCUAGUAAUCGCGCAUCAGCAUGGCGCGGCGAAUACGUUCCCGGGC